RNAcentral lists this unclassified non-coding RNA (2576 nucleotides) under Dimorphilus gyrociliatus. Its description in RNAcentral is "g_PROTEIN_RECEP_F1_2 domain-containing protein". Lineage: Eukaryota; Metazoa; Annelida; Polychaeta; Dinophilidae. The record is from RNAcentral.
AAUGGAUACAACAAAUAAUUCAGUUUGCUGUAAGAAUCUAAUGGAUAACAUUAUAACACCUUUCAAAGGCUUUAUAGCACAUUUUCAAAUCCUUAAGAUUUUGGUCAUUAAGAAUAACAAUAUAAAGAGAUUAGCAGAUUUUUCUUUUAUCUCUCAAUCAUUAAAAUAUCUUAAUCUUGCUGAGAAUUCUAUAAGGAGAAUUGAUAAGUUUACCUUUACUGGAGCAGAUAAUUUAUUCUAUUUGAAUUUGGCUGGAAACAAAAUAAAAUUUAUACACUCUCAUGCGCUUCCUCCUCUAACUAAUUUAGACUCUCUUAAUCUUCAAAAUAAUAAUCUGGGCCCAACAUUUACAGUAACUUUACCAGAAAAUUUAACAACAUUGUACGUUCAAUCAAAUAAGUUGAAACACUUCAAACCAGAAUAUAUAGGUGAAAAUAAUUUGCAAAUAAUUUAUAUGGAAAACAAUUGUAUGAAUGAAUUAAUCAAAGGAUCUAUAUUUUCGAAUAUAAUUGAUCUAAAUUUACAAAAUAAUAAAAUUGGAUUGCUGGAUGAUGACUCCUUUGCCAAUUUUACUUCUCUUGAACACUUAACACUAACUGACAACAAACAGCUAGUUAUAACACCAAAACUAUUUGCUCCUCUAACAAAAUUACGUAUCCUGGAUUUAGAAGGAAUUUCAAUAGCAAAUAUUCAAGUUAUGAUGUUUUCAAAUUUACAUCUACAACGAAUAAAAUUCUCAAAAUUCGCUUAUUGCCAAUAUGUACCUCAUGUUCCUAAUUGUUAUCCGAAAACUGACGGAAUUUCCAGUUUAAAAGAUCUCUUGGCUUUGGUAGUACUUAGAGUAUUCAUCUGGGCAGUAGGCCUUUUUACGAUAAUGGCUAAUAGCUUAGUAUUUGUAAGCCGCCUCAGAAGUAGGGAUAAAAAUAAAACUUCGGCGUUUAUAAUCAACCUUUGUGUUUCCGAUUUGAUUAUGGGCAUCUACUUGAUAAUGAUCGCUAUUUAUGACACACGCUUUAGGGGCGUCUACAACAAACAUUCUCUAGAUUGGAAAAGAAGCAGGGAAUGUCAACUAAUCGGAUCUUUAUCCGUUACGUCGGCACUGGUAAGAUUUUCUUUAGCCUUUUCUCUCUUAAAAGCGCUAAAGAACUUAUCAUGCGGGUUUAUACCUCAGUACGGAUUAUCACUAAGAAAAAAUAAAAGAGAGAGUUGCUGCUGUUUUAUAUUAAAUUAGUUAAUUAAAAAUAACACCAGUAAAUUUAAUAGUAGUAAAACGGUUGUAAUUGGCAAUCCAAUUGCUAGCCAUCUCUCCUGAUUGCUACUUUGGAGAGAGUAACAAUAUAACGUAAAUCGAUUUUUUAACUUGUCAAGCUAAUUUUUCUUUAUCUAAUUCUUCAAUUGCAAGUUAAAUUACACUUUAAAAUUUCAAAGAGAUACGCAAGAAUCAACAAUCAUGCUAAAUGAAAUAAAAUGCCUACAGGUUUCUAGUUUUGUUUUGACGUUUAUGUCAGUGGAACGCUGUAGCGUUAUAUCAAAUCCCUAUAGGAAAACCCAUCUAACUGUAAAAAGGACAUGGUUAGUUCUUUUCAUCCUUUGGAUUGUUGGAAUUAUUUUGUCCUUACUACCUAUAUUUUUGCGGAAAAAUUUUGGCUCAAACGGUUUCUACGGCGGUACCGGAAUGUGUCUACCUUUGUACAUUCAUGAACCUCUUAGAUCUGGCUGGCAAUAUUCUGCUGUCCUUUUCCUUGGCAUAAAUAUAGCUACUGUAAUAUUGGUCACGACUUCAUACUUGGCCAUGUUUAAAAGCGUGAGAAAAACUAGGAAAAAAUCUGUAGACCGCGGUCGGCAAGGAGAAGAUGCUGGAUUAGCAGCUCGCUGUUUUUUAAUUGUUUUGACCAAUGUGUUCUCAUGGACUCCAAUAUUUAUAGUAAAGAUACUUGUUUUGUGUCAAAUAGAAGUAAAUGAUGCAGCCCACACGUGGUUGAUCAUUUUCGUUCUUCCAGUUAAUAGUGCUAUCAACCCUAUUUUAUAUUCAAUAGCUUCUCCACAGUUUCGAAAACCUUUCAAGCGUUUCCUACUUUCAAAUAACGUAUUACGAGCAUUAUGCGCCAAAUGUAUAGAACUAGAGGGUUGGAGGUUUUCAUUAACUAAUGCUUUCAUUAAUAAUUUUUUCUCUCUCUUCAGAAGAGGCAACUGCUUCGAGAGAAACACAAUAUUUCCUGCAGUCCCAGUAUCAAAUUCGUAACCGGAAAUAAGCAAGAGAAGCUUUGUUAAUCAAACCAUAUCUAAUCUGGCUACCAGAAUACGCGUAGGAGAAAAAUGGUCCAUUUCUUUUCAAGAUAUGCAUUAUAAAUGUAUGUAAAAAGAUAUUUAUGUAAUUGUAAAAUAUUAGUAUUUGAUAACAUUUAACUAUGAUAUCCAGUCGUUCAACAAUUCGUCAUUUACAAUUCUAAAUUGUUUUAAUAAACUAAUAUUUUUACUCAUAAAUGUCGAAGUUAUUUAUGGAAAUGCUAUAUAAUUUUUGUAUUUGGUAAUGUUUCGACUAUGGGACUUUAAAUUAAUAAAAGAUAAUCUGUUUU